RNAcentral lists this ribosomal RNA (372 nucleotides) under uncultured organism. Its description in RNAcentral is "partial 16S ribosomal RNA". It matches the Rfam family "Bacterial small subunit ribosomal RNA", at positions 527 to 896 of the family's 1533-position model. The record is from RNAcentral.
GUAGGUGGCAAGCGUUGUCCGGAAUUAUUGGGCGUAAAGCGCGCGCAGGCGGUUCUUUAAGUCUGAUGUGAAAGCCCACGGCUCAACCGUGGAGGGUCAUUGGAAACUGGAGAACUUGAGUACAGAAGAGGAAAGCGGAAUUCCACGUGUAGCGGUGAAAUGCGUAGAGAUGUGGAGGAACACCAGUGGCGAAGGCGGCUUUCUGGUCUGUAACUGACGCUGAGGCGCGAGAGCGUGGGGAGCAAACAGGAUUAGAUACCCUGGUAGUCCACGCCGUAAACGAUGAGUGCUAAGUGUUAGGGGGUUUCCGCCCCCCUUAGUGCUGCAGCUAACGCAUUAAGCACUCCGCCUGGGAGUACGGCCGCAAGGCUG